This is a long non-coding RNA of Triticum aestivum (bread wheat), 12009 nucleotides long. RefSeq lists it as uncharacterized. The transcript has 2 exons. The record is from RefSeq and is a predicted model, not a curated record. NCBI's taxonomy places the organism in Eukaryota, Viridiplantae, Streptophyta, Magnoliopsida, Poales, Poaceae.
AGGGUAUCGUUGCUAUCGUUUUCCCCAAUUAGGCUGACAACAAAAUCCCCUUCUCUACUGUACCGUUCUCUUUAUGCGGCUGUGAUUUGGGGACGGUGAGCAAGGGGGAGAUCACGGGAGGACGCGGCGUGCUGCUCGACCUCAUCGACGACGGUGCUGGAGGUUUGUGGGGCGGAGGAGGCGGUGACUGAGCUGAAGAAGGGUACACUGGUUCGUGGAUUUCCUAGCGAAUUGGUGUGUGCUGCUGGUUUUCGAGGACAUUUCUGACCGAGGAGGGACCGCGCGUUCGAGUAGCUGUUCUUGCGCCAGCUACCAGCGAGAUCGCAUCUCGCCGUCGCUGAUCUGGAAAGGCAGAUGUCGCUCCGCCGGGGAGGUCAUGGGUACUGGCAGCGAGCUUUGGCGUUGUGUUGAACGGCCUGCAGUUCCUUGUCGCUUAGGAUGAGGAAAAACGACAUGUAUGAAUCUCUCUGCCGCUCUGCACACUCCCAUUAUCCUCUUGCUUUGCAUCAUUUGUACUUCAUAAUGUGAUUUACUUAGUUUGUGUAUUUAAGCAAGUUAACAUUUGGAACUUUAAAAGCAUUUUUGUUUACAUUUUAGCGCUGAUUUUGCGCUUGCAAUUUCAAGUUAGGAGAUAACCUCGUAGGUACUUUCUUGUUCAUGUAUGGAUUAUCUGCAUGAUCUGCACUAUAUAAUUAUUUGAUAAGUCAUUGAUCUCCUUUUCAUUUUGUAGGGAAUUGAACUUGUAUUUUUUUUCAUGUUAACAUUGUACUGAUAUUUAAAUUAUUGUCUCUUCAGCAUUUCCUUGAUAAUAAUAAUUAGAUUGAUAGAGACGUUGAAAAUUGUCAAUGGUGCUGUCAAUAUAAUGUAGAUUUGAUAUAUUUUUUUGCUAAAUGAUCUUGAUUUACUUUUUCAAACAUGUUGACCUUUUUCAACGUGCUUCCCGUCCCAUUAUGCGUACAUUUUUUAGAAGAAACUAGUAAUAAAGUACGUGCAAUGCACGUUUAUAUUAGGUAGGAUAUUGGUUGCACGUUAUAUUAGAUAAGAUAUAUCUAUUGCACGUUGGUAUUUGGUAAGAUUUCAAUUACUUUUUUUGCGGGAAUGGUAGGAUAUUAAUUACGUGACAGAUUUCAUGGGACAGCGUUGAGUCAAAACGUGUUUAUAACCAAUGGCAGUGGUGGGUAAUUAGAGCGUUAAACGUGUUUGGUGCUCAACAUUGGAGCGAUUUGAACCGCUAGAUAUCAUGAUUUGACGGUUGAGAUGGUUUGGAUCUGCCCGUUUGGGUCUUUUUAUAUUGGUAUAGAUAUAGAUAUAGAUAGAUGUGUACGCCUCUUUUUUUAAGGGAUGUACGCCGCUCCCUUUCUUCUUUGCCUUUGAAGGGGAAUUGAAAGAAACUGAGGCUGCCCGUCCAUGGGGUGAUUCUGCCCCAAAUCUAAGUGCCCUGCCCGUCCAUGGUGCGAUCCUGUAGCAAGUCGCAAGGGGAAAAAGACAUCGAGGCUGCUGCCCCAAAUCUGAGUGCCCUGCCUGUCCACGGGGAGAUGCUGUACCAAAUCGCAAGUGGAGUACUAUACCAGAUUGAUUUGCUUGCCCAUCCGUGGCCAAAGCUUGGAGGAGGUGACGUUGGUGGCCAUUUUUUGCCCAGGCCGGGACAUGCGCUGCGGAUCAGGCGUUGCCCACCAGCGAGGCGGCAUCUCACUGUUGCUUAUGUUGGAAGUCCAUUUGCGAUGGGCCAUCUUCUGUUUGUCUGUCGCCUUAGGCUGCGGACGUGCUGACAGGUAUGAAUCCCUUUGUACUCUCCCAUUCGCCUCUUUUUUUUCGAAAAGGGGGUUUACCCCAGUCUCUGCAUCAGAAAGAUGCAUACGGCUCAUCCCAUUCCCCUCUUGCUUUCCAAAUCUGCAUCAUAAUUUCAUUUUUUAUAUUAAAUGUAAAUUCAGAUUUUGGCUUUACAUUUUUAAAAUUUGAAGUAUUCGUGUUUACAUCCUAGCAUUGAUUAUGCCAUUGUAAUUUGAACUUUUUAGAUAAUCUCGUACAUACUUUUGUUGUUAAUGCAUGGAUCUAUAUUCAGUUCUGCAAUUUAUAUACCUUGCAUUUUUUAGGGAAUCAAACUGACAUUAGUGUAAAAAUUAUGAUGGAUGAACUUGUAAUAUAUUCUGAUAGAAUUGACAUUCAAGUUUUACCAAAUUGUAGAUUUGUGAGAAUCAUGUUUCAGACUGGUUAUUAUUCCAGAUCUGCAAUAAGAUUUUGAAACUUUUGCCCAUGCAGAAAGUCAGCUAGUUGUACACAUUUGUUAACAUCUCUAUUCAUGAAAGCAGUGUAUGGCAAUAAUAAUCUGCAUUGUUAUGUUCUUAUUUCUUGUUACGAAAUAAUGAGAAAUCCAAUCUGUAAUAUCAUUUUGUAUACAUUAUUUCUAGUCAUAUCUAACAACACAUGGACGUCACAGUUCUGAACCAUACAUUGUACUUUUUAAAUCAUGAUUUGGCCCUGAUAUACAUUUACUUGAAUAACAAAAAAAAAUAGAAGAUCUCUUUGUAUACUAUAUUUAUAUUCUUUGCGCUAUCUUCGCUUGGGCACUCCGUGUCAUCAAUCAGCACCUUUAAUCCUUCUCUGCUUGUGACUCUUGAUAGUGCCACAUAUAGUUGCCCAUGGCAGAAGACUUGCUUAGGCAAAUAUAGACCCACCUUGUUUAGGGAUUGACCUUGGCUUUUAUUUAUUGUCGUUGCAAAACAAACUGAUAGAGGAUAUUGCCUUCUUUUUAGCACGAAGGGCCACUUUGAGUCGCUUGGUGACAUAAUGAUAUUAGGUAUGUAUACCUUGUCACCGACAUGUGUUCCUGUGAUUAUUUGUGCCUCAAUGUACCUGUUUCCCAGCUGUGUAAUAGUCAUUCUUGUACCAUUGCAUAAACCUGCUGCUUGAUUGAUGUUGCGUAGGAGCAUCACCGGCAAACCUACCUUCAGUUUUAGCUCGUGGUUUGGAAUUUUUGGGAUAGUCAUGUUGUUAAGAAACUCUGUUGGACACAUAUUCUCCAUUGUGUUGUACUUCAUUGUUGCCUUGCAUACAGUGUCCAAGCUUAGGUAUGUCACCUCUUCCCCUUGUAUUUGGCUCAUUAUGUAGUCAUUUAUCUUCUCAACUGUUUCAUUCCUUGGACAUAGUAUUGCUCUUUCUUCGAGAAAUUCACGGUCAUGGUAGUUUUGUUGCAAGUUUGGGUACGUGCUUUUGACUAUCUCUUCUUUGGGGUCUUCUCCUUUAUGUAGAAUUAUGUCUUUAGGUAUUUUUACCCAAUCAUCCCCUUCAUCGUUUGUUCUUUUUCCGUCCCCAAUUUGUAAUAUCCAUGCUGCAAAUUGAGCCACAUUUUGCUUUUGUAUUGGAUCUUCUGACAGGCACUUCAACCGCAUAUUUUCAGUUAGGCUAAAUAUUUCGAUGUGCUUCCAUAGGUAUGACCUUUUGAUUGAGGCAUUUACUAUCUGUUCUCUCCUUCCCUUUGUUAUGACUGGAAGUAUUUGUCUGAAGUCGCCUCCUAGCACCACGGUCAUGCCACCAAAUGGCCUUUCGAGACUGUUUUGGUUUGUGAACCUUAUAAUAUCCCUAAGGCUUUUGUCUAGUGCCUCGAAGCAGUGUUUGUUUGCCUUCGGAGCCUCGUCCCACAAUAUCAGUGAGGUCUUCUUUACCAGUUCAGCCAAAUGUGAGCCUUGUUUUAUUUCACAUGUUGGUUCUUCCGUGAUAUUUAUUGGAAUGUGGAAUCUUGAGUGUGCUGUUCUUCCACCUUGGAGCAGCAAAGCUGCAAUGCCAGAUGAUGCUACCGCAAGCACUAUCUUUCCCUCUGAUCGUAGUUUCGUUGUAAUUGCUUUCCAUUGAUAUGUUUUGCCUGUGCCACCAUAGCCUUCUACAAAUAUCUGUUUUCCAUGUUCUCUCUCAGCUGACUCUAUUAUUGCAUCAAAGGCCAUUUUCUGGUCAUGGUUAAGAUUGCUUAUUAUGGUUUUGUGCUCACCUUUAGUGUUUCCAUGUCGUAGCUAAGUUCUUCAUUUAUCAUUCUGUUCCCAAGUUGUUCAAGUUCUGUAGCAUUUGGUAGUUCUAUGUCUGGAUAGUCCUUUAGUGUCUUUCCUGCUUGCCUCAUUAGUUUCUCUAUCUCGAUCAGAGCAUAUGCUUUUUUUUGUGAAUCAGUGAGCUGCAGCAUAGGAAAGUUUAGGAUAAUUCUUCUUUUGUACUGGAUAUCUUCAGAUAGUGCCUCCCAUGUUGAAUCCCACAACAUCUUUGGGCUGGUAACCUCACAAUGGCAUAAAAUUGUGCUGAAUAGCUGUCGUAAUUGUGUCCCGGAUCCCCAUGUUGAUGCUUCAUUGAUGCAUUCAAUCCACUCACUAUCAUCAUCAAGAAAACCAAGCGUCUGGCAUGCUGAUUUGUAUGUUGGGUGAACAACUCCAUUAACUGUUCUAAUAUCCUCAAAUGAUGUGCAUCCUUUCUUUGUGUUUAGAAGCAUUCUCAUAUAAUACCGCUCUCCACUUGCAGGUGUGCAUAGUAGAUUCAACCAAUAGCAAAGCCUCUUUUCCGCUCCUCCCAAGUUUUGGUGUCGCUUUUCCAUACAAAUUUUGAUGGCAAUUCUGCAUAGUCUCUCUACUAGUGGAUCACGAUGGUGUAGUAGAUCAAACUGGAAUAUCCGCCAGCAUGCUUCAGUUGUUGAUAUGUAUCUCAUCUCUAGGUAUUUCUUGAUUUCAUCAUAGUCGUUUGCCGCGUCUCUUUCCUUUAGUAAGGCUGUUACUUGGUCGUCGUCUUUAUGGAUGUACUUAAAUAGGUACUCCCUCCUUCCCAAAAUAUAAGGCACGAUUGACUUUUUACGGUCUUUGAUGCACAACUUUGACCACUAAUAUAUAUCAAAGUAUAUGGAUUGAACAUGUAUAAAUGACAUCGCCGUAUUUGUCUUGCAAAGCAAUUUUAUUUCAUAUGUAUGUAUACUAAUUUUAUAGACAUAUAAUACAUAAAAAUUAUAGUCAAAGUUGUGCAACGAAGACCAGAAAAGUCAAACCGUGCCUUAUAUUUUGGGAAGGAGGGAGUACUUGAUUGACCUGGACCUGUUGCACCACUCGACAUUUAUGUGAGCUCGGAAUUUGACCAAAAGGUUUCGGUUAUAUGGCACGACAAAUCUGUUGUCGAGCAUUGCUCCUCCCUUUUUGAUCGUCCUUCCAUUGUCGCGCCUUCUAUAUACUGGAAAGCCAUCCUCAUCGAUUGUGGCAUCGACAUUAUAUCAUUUUGGGAAGUGUUUAGUGCAUCUAUUGUCCAUCAUGCAUGGUGAUUUUGUAUUUGCCUCUCCGCAAGGCCCGUGCAUCAUGAAGUUUUCAACAGCUGCAUAUCCGUCAGGAUCGACAUCUUUGUCUGGGAUCUCCGCACUGAUUAUUUGAUCGAUUUCUGAUGGUCCUUUGCACUUGUAAUUCUCCUUGAGGAAUACCAAUAUGUGCGCAUGCGGGAGUCCCCUCUUCUGGACUCUAUUGUGUAGAUAACUGCAUUGAUUAAAAGUUUGAUUUUGUUAGAUUUCUGAAGAAUUUUAGUAAAUAGACAAAGGCUAUGGUGUGCUAAAAAAUUUAAACUUUAGGUUCUAUUAGUUAGCAAUGAGAAGUUGGCUGAUCUUACUUGAUAUAGUUUCUCCAAAGUGUUUUUUCACAACGAUGUCUCUCAUUAGCUCCUUCAGUUUUAUCAUGAAUACUCGGUCAAUAAUAUCUGGCGGGUCGGCUGGAUUUAGGCCUCCUCCUGGUUCAUCUAGCAUGUAUUGGAUCUCGGGCCACUUCGUGUUGCAUGUGAAUGUUAUAAACAGGUCUGGAUAUCCAGCCCAACAGCAUAUUGCAAAAGCGUCUUGCAAGUUCUGUGCCUUGUUUCUUCUGCCUCCUGUAUAAGAUGAAGAUACAAUUAUCCUCUUUCCAACCUGCUCUGUUCUGGUGUCCCCUCGCUCAAUCGCGUCCUGCAGUCCACUGUAAAGUUCACUCCGUAGCUUCCCUUGAUUAUUCCUGAUCCAAUUUAGUCUGUUUGCUCAAUGCAUGUGUAAACAUCUACCCAAAAUUGCAGAGACAGAUGUCUAGACGUUAGCAGCGACAUUCCUUGGUCGGGUCUUUGCUGUAGGUAGUAUGCGUAGUAGUCCAGCAUAGUUACAUAUUUCCUGCUUUUGUCAUCUUCUUUUGUUCGGUUGUAAGGUAUUUCAAGCUUGAAGCCGUCUUCUCCGUAUGGAAACAACAAUGGGUAUUGCAUCGACAUUAAUUUUGGAUGGGUUUCCGAUAUUCUGUGAGGCACCAUAUUUUUGUACUCGACAACGAUAUCUCGUCCUUCGCUCUCUCCAGUUAGGUCUCUUACAACCAAUGCUGCAACUUCCGAUGCAGAUGGAAGGUUGUGUGUUCCGUUCCUUUUCCCAAGUAUUCUAAGUGUGUAAUCAUGGUAGUCUUCUUCUUUGAAUCUAUCUCUUGCCAUUCUGAAAGAUUUUGCGAGGACGUUGUUCUCAUCAAGCAUUUUUUUGUAGUUCUUUGACAAUGGCAGGGUCCACAGUUGAUUUAUUAUCAUUGCAUCUUGAAGCAUCUAUCCUGUUUUGCACUUCUGUCUGAUAGAUAUAUAGCUGGGCAAAUCGAGGUUUGUUACCUUCUUCAAGUAGAAGAGUUCCAAUAUGGUGAUAGUUCUGGCCAUGCAGUCUAAAAACAUAUGGUCCUUUGCCUUUGUUUAUUUCUUUGUCAACAGUUCCACCCAUUGAUGUGAAUGAGAACAUUGAGUUGUAUGACCUGAUAUUUUCUCUGAAGUUUGUUGCAUCACUUCCUUCACCUGUUAAUAGUCCUGCGAGGUAAGGUGGAGGAUGUGCCAUCUUUGGUAGGUCAAUCUUACCUUGUUUACAGCAAAUUCCGAAAGAAGGUUUUUUGGUUCCUCUAUGAGAAUUUAAUCUUUUUUCACACCAUAGUAUUGCAUUGCAAUGUUCACAUCUAUAUGUUGGCUUUCCAAAGUUCCAUAUUUUGCUAUAAUAACUCUCGGACGUAGUGCUGCUGUUUGUUUCUUUGAUGUUGCUUCCAAGGUCAUUGUCGCUCCUACUUGUUCUUGCAUGCUUCACAUUUGUUCUUUCUUUGAUUUAUUCCUUUCUCUUCCGUGAAGCAUCUUCUUCUUUUUUAUUGGUUGUUUCCUGUGUAUUCCUGCAUCUCUUACUCCUUUUUUCUUGGAGUUGUUGUUUCCUCCUGAUAAUAGCUUCUCUAGCUUCUUUUGUAAGUUAGCCUGCGGAUUUUGACGUGUACUGUCCCUUCAUUUCUGCAUUGGAUAUUCUUUUAGCAAUAUAGUAUCAUAUAUUUAAAUUCUACUUUAUGUACAAUGUUCUCAAGAGAUUAACAAUAUAUGCAGUAAAUAAGAGAUUCUUGCUGCAUGUAGAAACAACCUAUAAUACUUAUCAUCAUGCUUUCAGGAUUAUUGUGUUGUGUGGUUGGAGCUGCAGUGGAUGGCAUUAUUGCUGUGACAGUGUGCUUGUUUCUCAGUGAACGACAGUUGCUCCAUGGGAAUUAGUACGGCGAAGUACUCUCUAAAAUCAUUUUUAGCACUAUACGUAAAAUUAUUAGGUUCUGCAAUAUUUCAAAGGGCAAUAUUUCAAAUAUAUAUGUUAGAAAAGUACCAAAAAAUAGUAAGCAUUACAUUAAAGAUAGAAAAAGGUCAACAAUAUACCUGAUUGUGUUUUCUUUUUCUUUUUAAUUUUUGUAAAGCUUCACACGCCUGAGCCAAUUAUUGUCGUAAUUGUAUCUUUGCUGCAAAUCAAAUCCUGUAGCGAUUCUGGAUUUUUUUGUAGCAAAUUAUUAAAGCAUAUCUUUGUAUUGCUGCCAUGACUUUAUCAGCCUGUGUGUCAGUUUUAGUUCACAACAGAAGCUGGUACUAUUUUCUCAAAGAAAAUAGAGUUUAUGUCAAGAGCCAAGGCAAGACGUGCGAGGAUAGUUUAUUUCAGUCAGUAUUAUAAUUAUAUGCCUAAAUGUAAAACAAUGUAAUAAUGAAUAAAAAAAUAUGAGGUUGCUUUGAAUUGAUGAUAAUAGUAGUUUUCCACGGAGAGCAUUUACCUUCUAAUCUGAAGUCUGGCAUGCCCGACUCAUGUGCAAGUUUUCCUGCGAUUCAAUCUAGAUCGGUUGUGACUAAUCUUGUUGACUUUGUUUUUGAUGGGUUGAUGGUCCAAAGGUCUAGAUGAUACGAUCCCGUGGUUCACCGAAGUGUUUGUUCCAGCUAUUUAAGGGCAGUACGCUAACACGUGCUCGUAUCAGCCUAUCCAAUAAGGAGUAGGAACUGAGUUCCGAUAAGGAGUAGGAACUGAGUUGGUAACGAUUACGGUAUAGAGAUAAAAUUCCAAAUCCAAGUUUACAUACACCACGUAUGAAGCCUAUUCAGGCCCAGCAGUUUUGAUGGGGGCCCAUGUUAGUCAUUUAGUAAAUUACCACCCCGUAUAAACAACCCAUACAGGUCGUCAUCUAUGUAGAACUCUCAUCUUUUAUAAAAGAAAAAUAUCUCUCAGCUCAAUCAAUCCCCACCAGCAACCUUAUCCAUCCGCCUGCACCACCUCUUCCAUUAUCCGACUGAUGAAGAUCUUGCCGCUUGCCAUCACCGAACUAAUUCCCAAACCAUCGCGACUACACUUGUUGAUUCAUUUCUUCCAACUUCUCUUCGUCUGGCGCAGUCUGCAGUUGCGCGGAGUGCGCGGGCGCAUUCUCAAGGACCUGGAUCCUCGACGACCUCGUGGAGUCCGGCGGAGCGUUCUCAAGGGUUUCGGCCAAGGUGAUGACAUGGCCGACGGCUAGAGAACCAUGGCAGAGGUAUUGUAGUUUGAUCCAAUGGAGGAGGCUGUUACGGAACUCACCGAGUCAUCCACUGAUGGUGAAUUAUUGGAUCUGACUACAGUGAGAUGCUGGCCUCCUCUUUGUUCUUGCUGGCCUCCUCAUUGUUCUUCCUGUCAAAUUACUAUUAAAUGUAAGUGUAAACUGAUGAUUUGCAUCCUCUGUACUGAAGAUUAUUUCUUGUUUAUUUUCUUAAACUGCAAAGGCCUUAUCUUGUGUGUGUUAAUAUGUUACCUUGGAUAUUAAUUUUGGUAUAGGUUUGUUGCGCAAAAACUCACUUGUUGAAUUUUCUCAAGUAACAUCUGGUAACCAUAUCAAGUAACGGAGAAACAUAUUCUAGUUUCCAGCAAGACGUCGUUGAUUUGCUUAUAUCCAGUUCUGCUAUUAAUUUACUGAAGCAUGUUCCUCUAUAUUGUGCUGGUCUCAUAUAGAUUUGGCAAAGUAUAAUUUCUUCAAAUUGUGAAGUGAAACCUAAUGUGGAAACUCUAGUAUUGUAGUAUGUUUCUGCCUAUUGUGCUCGCCUUAUACAUAUUUGCCGAAAAUAGCAUGUACAUAAAGGAAACUAGAUGAAGAAAGUUAACUAUCUGUUUUGAACAUUGGUACAUUCAGACCCUUAAUCUAAUACUAUCCUUCUUAUCCUGGUCAAUAUCAAAUACUCUUACUUAUCUUGGUCGAUACAAAUAAAUUGCCGUACUAUUUAUUUCAUAAGCUACUGAUCCACUAAUUAUCUAGAUGACUAAGAACAUUGGUAACAUUCACACCCUUAAUCUAAUAAGUAUCCUUCUUAUCCUGAUCGAUAUUAAGUACUCUUACUUAUCAUGGUUGAUACAAAUAUACUGUCGUACUAUUUAUUUCAUAAGCUACUGAUUCACUAAUUAUCUAGAUAACAUCCUUGUUCUCCUGGGCUUUGCUUUCCAUACUUCAUCUUCAUCUUCAAGCAUUGUAUUUUUGGCCUUUUGUCCUUUUGUUCAGGCAUAUUCGUCUCAGUGCAUUCAUCCUCUGAGCUAUCUGAUAUUGCAACAGAUCUAAGUCUCCUUUUAUUGCCACUUCGGAGCACACGUGAUGACGAUGAUACUUUGUCUUGACGCUUAUCUUUGUUUAAUGUAGUCCCAUUGCUAUCAUUUGGCUCCUCUUUCACAGGCACCCGUUCGCAUGAAAGUUCGCCAGGUGAAACUUUAUUAUUCUUUGACUGCAAUCAUAUAGAAUUUCAAAAUUAGACACAUCUCUAAAAUCUGAAGUUUGUAUAUAGUUUUAAAAAAUCAUUCACCUUUCUAUCCGGCAUGUUCUGCUUCUUCAUUAACACGGUGUCAACUUCAUCAUCCAUCAGUUCCUGUGCAACAUAUGUAAGAUGAAUUAGUUAAGGAAUUCUGAAAAUGGUAAAAAUUUAAUGCGACUUUACCUCCUCGGCUUUAUUGUCCAAGUAGAGCAUCUCAACCUUAGCAUUAGGCACAAAUGUUCUUUUUACUGCAUAGUUUUGUGUGCCGAAUGUGAGAUUACUAUCAUUGAGCCUUAACCGAAAUAUAAGUCUUUUUCCACAUAAUUGUUGAAUAAUCUUUGGCGCUUCUUCCGAUUUCCCAUCUAGUGUGUCCAGCAACUUAGAUGCAGAUGUAUUAAGAAAUCUUGCAGCCUCCUCGUCAAAUAAAGUGCAACUUGUAGUAGAUGUAUGGUCACUAAUUUGGAGUCGAACACGGUACCUAACAUACAACUCAUGUUAGUGGAGAGUAAAUAUAAUAUAACAGUUGUUCAUAUUUUAGUAACAUAAUAUGCUUACCGAGGUGCGACCUUCUCUGGAUAUAUACCACAACUGUUGCAAUAAUACUUGUCGGUUUCUUUGGUAGCCAAUUUGUGACACUUAUCACAUGACAUGUACCACCAUUGAAUAUUUUCUUGCAAACGAUCUACUAUUGCUAUUGCUGCCAAUCUGAGAAGUUAGUGCACAUGAGGGAGGUUUGGUUAAAUUUGAGACAUCCAUAUGCAUAUGCACUUACUCUGGCAUUAGGAUUUCAAUCUCGCGGAGAUAUGAAGGUUGUGGGUUCUUCUUUGUUAUUCUUGUCUCCACAGGCUUCAUUUGUGUUAGUAGUCCAAUGACAUCUGUAUAUUUGUAUAUUAGUGAUAUAACAAUUAGAAAUAACAAUUAUUUGGAAGUCAAAAUUACAACUGUAAACAUACUUGAGCAUUGUGUAUCUUUUUCUGCCCUUUCUUCUAGUGUGUCCAUGGUAGCAAACUCGAAGCAAUAAUCUGGAAAAACUUCUGAAGAUCCUUUUAUCUCCUUUACCUUUGUAUUGUAUGCAAAAAAUAUUUGAAUUUCAUUGCUCACUGGCCUAUAUUUUGUGGAUUCCACAACCUUAAAAUUGUUGAAUGCAUAAACUGAUUUCUCAAUGAUUUUUGAUCUAAAAGUAUCUAUAAGAUUCUUCCAGAUAGUAGCAUGGAUUGAUUCACCCUGUCGAAAGAAUCAAAUAUGUUUAGUAAUUGUUGCUUCAUCUGACAGAAAAGUUCCAAUUAAUAUAUUAAAAAAAAGACCUGCUCAUCCAUCAGUAUCAUAUCUAGGCUAAUAAGAUCAUCGGUUGUAGGAUUGACUGAAUCCCACAUUCUCAUUACUUUCACUUGAAUGUUUCAAUUCUGUCCCCUUGUAGUUAAGUCGCUCAACUUCUUGUAUGCCAUAGUGUUAUGUCUUCAAAAUUAACAGGGAACAAUUUGUCAGUUGAAAUAGUAUUUAUGAAGAUUCUAUCUAGAAAAAGUAAGCUUACUAAAUAACAAUUACCAAUCUGAUGAUGCAGACCGAAAGUGGUUUCGGGUCACUUCUUCCGACGUUGAUUGGAGCAGUUGGGCGUAACUUCAUCGGGCGUCGAGUGUGCUUUGGCGUGACUUCGUCGGAAGUCGAUUGAAGCGGCUGGAGGUGGCUUUUGGUGUGGACGUCGAGUCGCGUGUGGCUUGUUCAAGUCGUGGUUGCUGACUUCUAACUGUUUGGUGGUUGCUUGUCCGGCCGGCUAUACUUAUAUAAUGGGUUGUGUUGAGGUGUCUUGGGUUGAGGUGGCUGAGACCGUGUGGAGAUCAGAUUGUGAAAUUGUCUGUAUUUGUUUCUGUUUUGGAACUUUCCUCGCGUGGUCUGGUGGUUGUCCUUAUUUUGUUUAGGUUCCUUAUUUGUUUAGGUUUGACUAUUAUUUUUUCUUAUCCUUGACCCAUUGAUGGAAAGAUAUUUUUUAUU